GAUGAACGCUAGCUACAGGCUUAACACAUGCAAGUCGAGGGGCAGCAUGAACUUAGCUUGCUAAGUUUGAUGGCGACCGGCGCACGGGUGAGUAACACGUAUCCAACCUUCCGUUUACUCAGGGAUAGCCUUUCGAAAGAAAGAUUAAUACCUGAUAGUAUGGUGAGAUUGCAUGAUAACACCAUUAAAGAUUUAUUGGUAAACGAUGGGGAUGCGUUCCAUUAGGUAGUAGGCGGGGUAACGGCCCACCUAGCCUGCGAUGGAUAGGGGUUCUGAGAGGAAGGUCCCCCACAUUGGAACUGAGACACGGUCCAAAACUCCUACGGGAGGCAGCAGUGAGGAAUAUUGGUCAAUGGGCGAGAGCCUGAACCAGCCAAGUAGCGUGAAGGAUGAAGGUCCUACGGAUUGUAAACUUCUUUAUACGGGAAUAAAGUUUCCUACGUGUAGGAUUUUGUAUGUACCGUAUGAAUAAGCAUCGGCUAAACUCCGUG
This 491-nucleotide ribosomal RNA is filed under the name uncultured bacterium. RNAcentral describes it as "bacterial SSU rRNA". It matches the Rfam family "Bacterial small subunit ribosomal RNA", at positions 28 to 507 of the family's 1533-position model. The record is from RNAcentral.